GAAAUUUGUUAUUUUGUAUAUUUCAGUAAUACGAGUGGAAACUUUUUAAAAAUAAAUUCAGCUUUUGAAAUCAGUGAUGGAGAGUUUAAACUGCACACCAGAAGAUGUUAUUGAAUCGGCAAUUACAACGACUACGAAUCUUCUCCCUGAGAAAUCCAGGAAACAGUAUUUAAAGGAACGUAAUUCUUUUAUGGAGUGGCGUAAUAAAAAAGGUAUAAACAGCUCCACAGAAAGAGUGUUACUAACUUAUUUUGAAACUAAAUCCAAAAUGUGGAAGUCUUCAACACUUUGAUCGACUUUAAUUCAAAACUGAAAGACACCCUAAUGGUAAAUAACGACGUAGACAUCAGUAAAUACUCCUCGAAACUCAUUGCAUAUUUGAAAAAUGAAUCAGUUGAAUAUAGACCUAAGAAAUCUAAAACAUUUGCCCGUGAAGAAAUUAAUAAGUUUCUGUUGUAAGCUCCAGACGUUCAUUAUCUCAUGCAUAAGGUUGCUUUAAUAUCUCAGAAGCUCCGCGGAGGGAGGAAUUAUAUAAAAUUAUAGAAAUGGAAAAUGCAAAACCCAAGUUAUAGGUAUCAAUACUUUUUCAAAAAUUCCCUCGCUCAUGACAUCUCUUCGGCGUCUCUAUUAGUGGAUUCCGGUGGUGAUAUAAUUCAACUAAAGAAGCGAGGUGGGUGGAAAUCCAACACAGUUGCGGGGUUUACGUAGACGAAUCAAUAACAAACAAAAUAGAUUCGGCAGUGAAAAUUUUAACGGAAACAACUAGUUCGACUUCAAGCAAUAUUGCAACAAUCCAUUAAGUACUAAUACAACUAUAGACGACGUAAUUUCUUUGAACUCGUUAAAUGUUGCCAAUUCAAGUACCAAUAAUAAUGUAAUUUCUUCUUCAGUUCGAAUUAAUAAUGCUCACAGUUGUACUUUUAAUAAUACUAUUACAAAAUAAAAAUUGAUAAAAGUU
This is a long non-coding RNA of Diorhabda sublineata, 958 nucleotides long. RefSeq lists it as uncharacterized. The record is from RefSeq and is a predicted model, not a curated record. The transcript is spliced from 4 exons. NCBI's taxonomy places the organism in Eukaryota, Metazoa, Arthropoda, Insecta, Coleoptera, Chrysomelidae.